UACUGAGGUGGGCGGGACGGGUGAGUACGCGGUGGUACCUGCCUCAUACAGGGGGAUAACAGUUAGAAAUGACUGCUAAUACCGCAUAAGACCACAGUACCGCAUGGUACAGGGGUAAAAACUCCGGUGGUAUGAGAUGGACCCGCGUCUGAUUAGGUAGUUGGUGGGGUAACGGCCUACCAAGCCGACGAUCAGUAGCCGACCUGAGAGGGUGACCGGCCACAUUGGGACUGAGACACGGCCCAA
This 246-nucleotide ribosomal RNA is filed under the name uncultured bacterium. Its description in RNAcentral is "partial 16S ribosomal RNA". It matches the Rfam family "Bacterial small subunit ribosomal RNA", at positions 100 to 334 of the family's 1533-position model. The record is from RNAcentral.